GACGAACGCUGGCGGCGUGCUUAACACAUGCAAGUCGAACGGAAAGGCCCCUUUGGGGGUACUCGAGUGGCGAACGGGUGAGUAACACGUGAGUAACCUGCCCUUGACUUCGGGAUAACUUCAGGAAACUGGGGCUAAUACCGGAUAGGAAUCCUUGCUGCAUGGUGGGGGUUGGAAAGCUUCGGCGGUUUUGGAUGGACUCGCGGCUUAUCAGCUUGUUGGUGGGGUAGUGGCUUACCAAGGCUUUGACGGGUAGCCGGCCUGAGAGGGCGACCGGCCACAUUGGGACUGAGAUACGGCCCAGACUCCUACGGGAGGCAGCAGUGGGGAAUAUUGCACAAUGGGCGGAAGCCUGAUGCAGCAACGCCGCGUGCGGGAUGACGGCCUUCGGGUUGUAAACCGCUUUCAGCAGGGGCGAAGCUUGUGGUGACGGUACUUGCAGAAGAAGCACCGGCUAACUACGU
Molecule: ribosomal RNA, 464 nt
Filed under: uncultured bacterium
Lineage: Bacteria
Description: partial 16S ribosomal RNA
Rfam family: Bacterial small subunit ribosomal RNA
Source: RNAcentral